RNAcentral lists this ribosomal RNA (508 nucleotides) under uncultured bacterium. RNAcentral describes it as "partial 16S ribosomal RNA". It matches the Rfam family "Bacterial small subunit ribosomal RNA", at positions 30 to 523 of the family's 1533-position model. The record is from RNAcentral.
AUUGAACGCUGGCGGCAGGCCUAACACAUGCAAGUCGAGCGGCAGCGGGAAAGUAGCUUGCUACUUUUGCCGGCGAGCGGCGGACGGGUGAGUAAUGCCUGGGGAUCUGCCCAGUCGAGGGGGAUAACUACUGGAAACGGUAGCUAAUACCGCAUACGCCUUACGGGGGAAAGCAGGGGACCUUCGGGCCUUGCGCGAUUGGAUGAACCCAGGUGGGAUUAGCUAGUUGGUGAGGUAAUGGCUCACCAAGGCGACGAUCCCUAGCUGGUCUGAGAGGAUGAUCAGCCACACUGGAACUGAGACACGGUCCAGACUCCUACGGGAGGCAGCAGUGGGGAAUAUUGCACAAUGGGGGAAACCCUGAUGCAGCCAUGCCGCGUGUGUGAAGAAGGCCUUCGGGUUGUAAAGCACUUUCAGCGAGGAGGAAAGGUUGGUAGCUAAUAACUGCCAGCUGUGACGUUACUCGCAGAAGAAGCACCGGCUAACUCCGUGCCAGCAGCCGCGGUAA